RNAcentral lists this ribosomal RNA (253 nucleotides) under uncultured bacterium. RNAcentral describes it as "partial 16S ribosomal RNA". It matches the Rfam family "Bacterial small subunit ribosomal RNA", at positions 524 to 776 of the family's 1533-position model. The record is from RNAcentral.
UACAGAGGUCCCGAGCGUUGUUCGGAUUCAUUGGGCGUAAAGGGUGCGUAGGCGGCGGGGCAAGUCUGAUGUGAAAUCCCGGGGCUCAACCCCGGAACUGCAUUGGAUACUGCCUUGCUAGAGUACUGGAGAGGGAACUGGAAUUUACGGUGUAGCAGUGAAAUGCGUAGAGAUCGUAAGGAAGGCCAGUGGCGAAGGCGAGUUCCUGGACAGUAACUGACGCUGAGGCACGAAGGCCAGGGGAGCAAACGGG